RNAcentral lists this small RNA (307 nucleotides) under Histoplasma ohiense. RNAcentral's name for it is "hypothetical lncRNA". Lineage: Eukaryota; Fungi; Ascomycota; Eurotiomycetes; Onygenales; Ajellomycetaceae. The record is from RNAcentral.
AACAAUUCUUCUGUAUAGCUUCUUACAUUCUUCUGCUCUGUGUUCUGUGCUCAUGUAGUCUCUAACAAUUCUUUUAUGUAGCUUUCAAUGAUUCUCUCAUCUCACAUUUCAUACUUGUGUAGCUUCUAACAAUUCUUACAUGUAUCUUUUAAUGUUCUUUCACUCCACACUUCACUGUGGAGUGGCUUCUGAUAUUCUUCCAUCUCAAACUUUCCUCUAUAAGAACCCUCUUUGUAUGAUCUUUUUUUCUGAUUUCUUUUCUCUUUCUUUUCUUAAUCAAUUUGUAAUCUGUAAUUAGAAUAGUGCU